GUGGUUUCAAUCCAGGGAGCGUAACCACUGAGCUAAAUCCCCAGCCCUUUGGGGGUUUUCUUAGAACAUCGGACUUUCCUGCAGCCUAGAGGCUUGCACUUCCAGAGAGCAGAAGCUGCCUGAGAAGUCAAGAAUUGCAACACUAUGCAAGAAAAAGGAAGCCGAGAGGAGAAUGGAGGAAGACAUGGAUGCUUUAAACACUCCCGAGUGACCGUAAUGCACGCCUCAGUCUCGGUGAGAGCCGCCCUACCUACUGGACCGGAAAUGUCAGCUUCAGCUUCGCCUCUGAGGCAAAUUCUCUGGCUGCUGCCACCUGCUGUGUCAGGAACUCUGGGAGGAGGGGCAGCUUGGAGUUUACCCAGUCCCCAGCCCAGCUACAGAAUAGCUCGUUUGGCCUCCGGUCACGGCUGGGACUUCGGUUAUCCGGUGAUGCUGUGAUUCUCCACAACAAGAAACAUCCUGGGAGAACAAACAUCUGCUCAGCUCCUCAUUGUUCUUGGACUGAUUAACAUCUUGUUUGCCAGAGAUGUACUGAACUCUCUGCAAGCCUUCCAUUACACCUUGUUUAUCCCAAUGUGAACUAUUGAACUCUCUGCAAGUCAUUUGUUACAUUUGUUUCUCCCGAUGUACUGAAUAAAAGGUGUGGUAAGCUGGGGGCUUUGUCUUUGCUGCCCAGAGCAGCACUGAUCAGAACCAAAGCUCAGCUUCUUCUCAGUCUCAUUUUUCUACCUUUCCUGUAAUUCGCCGUGUGCUGCCGUGGCUCACAGGAGACCAGGACUCACUGCAGAGGUUCUGGUAACGUCCCCUUCCCCUG
Molecule: long non-coding RNA, 814 nt
Organism: Heterocephalus glaber (naked mole-rat)
Lineage: Eukaryota; Metazoa; Chordata; Mammalia; Rodentia; Bathyergidae
Source: Ensembl